GGUUCCGUGGUUUAAUGGUAAAGUGUUCGAUGCGGUGCCAGAGUGUCCUGGGUUCGAUCCCCGCUUGGGUCG
This 72-nucleotide transfer RNA is filed under the name Schistosoma japonicum. RNAcentral describes it as "tRNA-OTHER". The record is from RNAcentral. Lineage: Eukaryota; Metazoa; Platyhelminthes; Trematoda; Strigeidida; Schistosomatidae.